GAGUUUGAUCAUGGCUCAGGAUGAACGCUAGCGGCAGGCUUAACACAUGCAAGUCGAGGGGCAGCACGGGUAGCAAUACCUGGUGGCGACCGGCGGAAGGGUGCGUAACGCGUGAGCAACAUGCCCUAUACAGGGGAAUAAACCAGGGAAACUUGGUCUAAUGCCCCAUAGCAAUAAGAUAAGGCAUCUUAUUUUAUUUAAAGCUUCGGUGGUAUAGGAUUGGCUCGCGUGACAUUAGCUGGAUGGUGGGGUAACGGCCCACCAUGGCGAUGAUGUCUAGGGGUUCUGAGAGGAAGACCCCCCACACUGGGACUGAGACACGGCCCAGACUCCUACGGGAGGCAGCAGUGAGGAAUAUUGGACAAUGGAUGGAAAUCUGAUCCAGCCAUGCCGCGUGCAGGAAGACGGCCCUAUGGGUUGUAAACUGCUUUUCUACGGGAGCAAUAAGGUCUACGCGUAGACUGAUGAGAGUACCGUAGGAAUAAGCAUCGGCUAACUCCGUGCCAGCAGCCGCGGUAAUACGGAGGAUGCGAGCGUUAUCCGGAUUUAUUGGGUUUAAAGGGUGCGUAGGCGGCUUUUUAAGUCAGCGGUGAAAUUUUGCAGCUUAACUGUAACAGCGCCGUUGAUACUGGGGAGCUAGGAUUUGGUUGC
RNAcentral lists this ribosomal RNA (651 nucleotides) under uncultured bacterium. RNAcentral describes it as "bacterial SSU rRNA". It matches the Rfam family "Bacterial small subunit ribosomal RNA", at positions 9 to 655 of the family's 1533-position model. The record is from RNAcentral.